UCAAUAGUUGAAAGUAUGAAGAAGAGAAGCAGCAGAAAGAGAGGGUUUAGAGUCAGGUAGAGCCAGGGUGAGUAGGUGGUGGGCUGUGGUCAUCUGCAGGGUGAGUAGGUGGUGGGCUGUGGUCAUCUGCAGGGUGAGUAGGUGGUGGGCUGUGGUCAUCUACAGGGUGAGUAGGUGGUGGGCUGUGGUCAUCUGCAGGGUGAGUAGGUGGUGGGCUGUGGUCAUCUGCAGGGUGAGUAGGUGGUGGGCUGUGGUCAUCUGCAGGGUGAGUAGGUGGUGGGCUGUGGUCAU
This is a long non-coding RNA of Acomys russatus (golden spiny mouse), 291 nucleotides long. RefSeq lists it as uncharacterized. Lineage: Eukaryota; Metazoa; Chordata; Mammalia; Rodentia; Muridae. The transcript is spliced from 3 exons. The record is from RefSeq and is a predicted model, not a curated record.